RNAcentral lists this ribosomal RNA (628 nucleotides) under Clostridioides difficile. RNAcentral describes it as "bacterial SSU rRNA". It matches the Rfam family "Bacterial small subunit ribosomal RNA", at positions 1 to 657 of the family's 1533-position model. The record is from RNAcentral. Lineage: Bacteria; Bacillati; Bacillota; Clostridia; Peptostreptococcales; Peptostreptococcaceae.
UUAUUUGAGAGUUUGAUCCUGGCUCAGGAUGAACGCUGGCGGCGUGCCUAACACAUGCAAGUUGAGCGAUUUACUUCGGUAAAGAGCGGCGGACGGGUGAGUAACGCGUGGGUAACCUACCCUGUACACACGGAUAACAUACCGAAAGGUAUGCUAAUACGGGAUAAUAUAUUUGAGAGGCAUCUCUUAAAUAUCAAAGGUGAGCCAGUACAGGAUGGACCCGCGUCUGAUUAGCUAGUUGGUAAGGUAACGGCUUACCAAGGCGACGAUCAGUAGCCGACCUGAGAGGGUGAUCGGCCACAUUGGAACUGAGACACGGUCCAAACUCCUACGGGAGGCAGCAGUGGGGAAUAUUGCACAAUGGGCGAAAGCCUGAUGCAGCAACGCCGCGUGAGUGAUGAAGGCCUUCGGGUCGUAAAACUCUGUCCUCAAGGAAGAUAAUGACGGUACUUGAGGAGGAAGCCCCGGCUAACUACGUGCCAGCAGCCGCGGUAAUACGUAGGGGGCUAGCGUUAUCCGGAUUUACUGGGCGUAAAGGGUGCGUAGGCGGUCUUUCAAGUCAGGAGUGAAAGGCUACGGCUCAACCGUAGUAAGCUCUUGAAACUGGGAGACUUGAGUGCAGGAGAGG